RNAcentral lists this long non-coding RNA (2565 nucleotides) under Triticum aestivum (bread wheat). RNAcentral's name for it is "long non-coding RNA (TAES_LNC028555)". The record is from RNAcentral. Lineage: Eukaryota; Viridiplantae; Streptophyta; Magnoliopsida; Poales; Poaceae.
AAAUAUCCAAAUAACUAGUAGAAUACAUUUCUUACACGGUAAGAAACAUGAACUUUUUUCUCUCCAUCUAAACCACAAGGAAAGAAGUAAAAACAUGGAAAAGGACAAGUGAUAAAACGGCGUCUUCUGCUCCACUUGUCUCUACCGCAGUCCACAUACAAAACCGAACCACCGUCGCGAAUCGUGAAGCGGAUCCGACGCCCCGGGCGCCUCCUAAUCACAAAUCCGCUAGAUAACUAUGAGCACGAGUGCACUGUUCCAUUUUCUUGACAACACAAGUGAAGUGCGUACAAUAACGCUCACCAUCAAGGCACCACCCCUGGUUGGCUCUAGUCUCUAGAAUGCGUACAUCACACCAUCUUCUCCAGGCCACAAAAUCCUGUGCCCCCGAAUGUUGUUUCUUUCUCUGGCUUGCCUUGCAACACCGGUGAUUCUCGCUGCAGAAUGCUUGACUGCCGAUCCACCUUUUGGAUAUAAAAGAUUCGGAAAUUAGAAAAAACCUAGCAGAUAUGGAAGUUUUCGUUAAAAACAGUUUUUUAACGACAAUGGACUGGAGACGUAUCAAAAAUGGAGAACAAAUUAACAUGACAAUAAUCUGGUCAUGAUAACUUUUAAUAAAAAUAAACACAGUAAAGUAAAGUCAGCCUCUUCUCGUCAACUUCAAUAAUCCCAAAACAGCACUCUGCUUACUGACUGGAAUAUGAGAGCUUCCAUUAUGUUCAGCGACAACAAGCAACUACCAAAAGGAAGUAAUGUAAGCUGCUGGCAGCAGUGAAAAGAAAGGAAGAUAUAACAUGAUUGCAUUUGUAACUGAGCAGCCCUUUUCAGGAAAGAAGACAAUUGCGCUAGGUAUAUGACUGGAGGCAGAGGACGAAAAAAAUUUAAGGUGUGGCGAAGUCUUAAGGAAAUAAUUCUUUUGAUGCAAAUCAAAAGAGUCAAGACAAAUUACAAACGAAAAACCAAAUACAAUGAAUAUGUAGGCAUGUUUCAAUAGGAAAACAACCUAAAAUAUACCGAUAAUGAAGCUUUCAAUGGCAUGUGCCGAAAUAUUGACACUUUCACGGGUGCUUGGAUUUGAUUUUGAGUUGCUGCCACUACCAAGCACUUCAAAAUACUUCUUCAAAUCUGCAAUCACAACAUUAAUAUAUCACUACAAUCUGCUUGAAUUUAAGGCUUGAAGCUGCUGUUCAAAAUUGCUAUAAAAUUUCAGAACAAAGAGAAAUUACCUCUUCCCCUUUUCUUUGGAUUUGCUAGUCCAUUCCCCUUUCUAUCCAUCUUCUAGUAAUCUGGACAGAACAGCACCGGUUGGGCAUCUUAUUAGCUUGUACGUAUAAUCAUCUAAAAACAAAAACUUGUUCGUACAGUACACAGUUAUAUUCAUAAUUACUGCAGUUGGUUCGGAACUUCAGAUCCUGAAGAAUUGACAGACGAAAAAUCGGCAAUACCUAACAAAGUGGCUGCAACUAGUCUCUGGUUCGGACCCUGAGUAAUUACCAAGGAAUUGCCAGGAAAAUCCCAAUGGAGCUUGCUGCCGCCACUGGAGCCACCGGUUGCUGCCGCCGCUGAAGACGUCGCUUGCUGCCUUAGCUGGAGCCGCGCUGCAGCCACCGCUGGAGCUUGCUGCCGCAGCCCUCUAAGCCCCCAGCCUGCCGCCGUCGUCAGUCGCCCGCCUGGUCCUCGCGACCUGGCCAGCCGCCGCCGCCGCGCUAGCUUAGGGUUGCGUCGCGUCUGGUGAGCGUGCGUGUGUGUCGUUUUUUUUUUUUUUUUGCCUCAUGUUCGUGGGCGCUCGAUCGAAUCGAUCCUGCCCGCGGUCGAUCUCCACGGGGCACCGCUACUGGCCCAACAGCCUGGAUGCGUCAGCCCAUCAGGCUCUGUACCAGCGCUGCAGUCGAACGAGUCCAGAGUUUGCCGAUCGGUAGAUCCGUAGAUGCAUACGUAUUAAAUUUUUUUUUGCCCGAAAUCAAGGUAUGGCGGCUGCCAUACCCUGCCCACCGGAGCCCUCCGCCAGUGGACUGAAGACUGUAUGGAAAGAUUAGGAAGGAAUGCUAAUUGACGUUUCAUUUCUUUUUCUUUUUCAUGAAAGAAGACAAUUGCCCUAGUAUCAGUAUAUUGAAGAAUUCACCUUUUGUUAGCCUUUUCUAACUGGAUCCAGAAAUUUUCUCUUUGUGCAUGUGUAGUCACUUUACACUCUCCUUUAUAAUUAUAACACAUACAAAACUAGAAACUUAAUUGUAACUAUUGUAGUUAAAUUUAAUUAUAAAAUCAGUAUUAGAGAGCUGAAUAAUAAAUUUCUAGAAGGGGUGAUGUUUCUAUUUCUUAUUUCAAUGUGAUCAGCAAACAAAUGCGCAUAAUCCAGUCAAAGGAGAGCACAAUUUGAUGGUCACUUCAUUACAAUCCACACAUCCACACUUGUAGAAGAGCAAAUUCAAUCUUACCAUCUAGCAAACGAAACCUGCAGCGUGAAUCAUCGCCCCAGACUGCAUCCCCGCAACUGCGCGCACCCUCAAGCCCUCAAGCAGUCAAGCAUGCCAGGGAAAAAGCCUGACUUAGAACUGCAAAACUGUG